RNAcentral lists this transfer RNA (97 nucleotides) under Clostridiales bacterium. Its description in RNAcentral is "tRNA-Sec". It matches the Rfam family "Selenocysteine transfer RNA". Lineage: Bacteria; Bacillati; Bacillota; Clostridia; Eubacteriales. The record is from RNAcentral.
GGGAAUAGAUGGGUGCUGGUGUGCCCUCUGGUCUUCAAAACCAGUACAAGGGGUUAGUAGCCUCUUGGGUGGGUUCGAUUCCCACAUAUUCCCGCCA